This 548-nucleotide ribosomal RNA is filed under the name uncultured bacterium. RNAcentral describes it as "bacterial SSU rRNA". It matches the Rfam family "Bacterial small subunit ribosomal RNA", at positions 355 to 896 of the family's 1533-position model. The record is from RNAcentral.
UGGGGAAUUUUGGACAAUGGACGAAAGUCNUUUCCAGCCAUGCCGCGUGCGGGAAGAAGGCCUUCGGGUUGUAAACCGCUUUUGUCAGGGAAGAAAUCCUUUGAGCUAAUACCUCGGGGGGAUGACGGUACCUGAAGAAUAAGCACCGGCUAACUACGUGCCAGCAGCCGCGGUAAUACGUAGGGUGCAAGCGUUAAUCGGAAUUACUGGGCGUAAAGCGUGCGCAGGCGGUUAUGUAAGACAGAGGUGAAAUCCCCGGGCUCAACCUGGGAACUGCCUUUGUGACUGCAUAGCUUGAGUGCGGCAGAGGGGGAUGGAAUUCCGCGUGUAGCAGUGAAAUGCGUAGAUAUGCGGAGGAACACCGAUGGCGAAGGCAAUCCCCUGGGCCUGCACUGACGCUCAUGCACGAAAGCGUGGGGAGCAAACAGGAUUAGAUACCCUGGUAGUCCACGCCCUAAACGAUGUCAACUGGUUGUUGGGAAGGUUCCUUCUCAGUAACGUAGCUAACGCGUGAAGUUGACCGCCUGGGGAGUACGGCCGCAAGGUUG